UUUUAUUUAAUUAGUCAUGCAUUACUUUACUAUAAAUAAUACAUGAACUUAGGCUUUUCCAGCAAUACCAUUCCUUAUUUAUUUAUUGCCCUUUUCACUUGAAUGCAGACCAGCAAAGUAUCCCUUAGGGUUGCUCUCGAAUGCGCCCCUCGAUAUAAUGGCCGCACCUCCACUCCCCGGAGCUACCAUCACUCCCGAAGCCCCACCUCCGCCUUUGGAUGUGCUUCCUCCUCCAACAUUUCCAGAGCCACCACCGCUGCCUCCGCAACCACCUUUGCUGCCACCGCCACUUCCACCUUUGCCACCACCCAUUUGAAUGCACAAGUUAUAACAAUGAAUGAAAU
This 344-nucleotide long non-coding RNA is filed under the name Gossypium raimondii (Peruvian cotton). RNAcentral describes it as "long non-coding RNA (GRAI_LNC010677)". The record is from RNAcentral. Lineage: Eukaryota; Viridiplantae; Streptophyta; Magnoliopsida; Malvales; Malvaceae.